GCCAGACUCCUACGGGAGGCAGCAGUGGGGGAUAUUGCACAAUGGGGGGAACCCUGAUGCAGCGACGCCGCGUGGGUGAAGAAGCGCCUCGGCGCGUAAAGCCCUGUCAGCAGGGAAGAAAAUGACGGUACCUGAAGAAGAAGCCCCGGCUAACUACGUGCCAGCAGCCGCGGAAAUACGUAGGGGGCAAGCGUUAUCCGGAAUUACUGGGUGUAAAGGGAGCGUAGACGGUGAAGUAAGUCUGGAGUGAAAGGCGGGGGCCCAACCCCCGGACUGCUCUGGAAACUAUUUGACUGGAGUGCAGGAGAGGUAAGCGGAAUUCCUAGUGUAGCGGUGAAAUGCGUAGAUAUUAGGAGGAACACCAGUGGCGAAGGCGGCUUACUGGACUGUAACUGACGUUGAGGCUCGAAAGCGUGGGGAGCAAACAGGAUUAGAUACCCCCGUA
RNAcentral lists this ribosomal RNA (445 nucleotides) under uncultured bacterium. RNAcentral's name for it is "bacterial SSU rRNA". It matches the Rfam family "Bacterial small subunit ribosomal RNA", at positions 330 to 792 of the family's 1533-position model. The record is from RNAcentral.